Molecule: ribosomal RNA, 216 nt
Filed under: Glomeromycotina sp.
Lineage: Eukaryota; Fungi; Glomeromycota
Description: partial small subunit ribosomal RNA
Rfam family: Eukaryotic small subunit ribosomal RNA (bases 40-216)
Source: RNAcentral
GGGUCAGUAGGUUGGUCGUGCCACCGGUACGUACUGGUCUCACUGAUUCCUCCUUCCUGAAGAACCGUAAUACCAUUAAUUUGGUGUUGCGGGGAAACAGGACUGUUACUUUGAAAAAAUUAGAGUGUUUAAAGCAAGCUAACGCUUGAAUACAUUAGCAUGGAAUAAUGAAAUAGGACGAUCGAUCCUAUUUUGUUGGUUUCUAGGAUUGACGUA